Molecule: ribosomal RNA, 906 nt
Filed under: Inocybe lapidicola
Lineage: Eukaryota; Fungi; Basidiomycota; Agaricomycetes; Agaricales; Inocybaceae
Description: partial large subunit ribosomal RNA
Rfam family: Eukaryotic large subunit ribosomal RNA
Source: RNAcentral
UCCCCUAGUAACUGCGAGUGAAGCGGGAAAAGCUCAAAUUUGAAAUCUGGUGGUUCUUGAGCCAUCCGAGUUGUAAUCUAGAGAAGUGUUACCUGUGCUGGACCGUGUACAAGUCUCCUGGAAUGGAGCAUCACAGAGGGUGAGAAUCCCGUCUUUGACACGGACUACCUGUACGAUAUGGUGCGCUCUCAAAGAGUCGAGUUGUUUGGGAAUGCAGCUCAAAAUGGGUGGUAAAUGCCAUCUAAAGCUAAAUAUUGGCGAGAGACCGAUAGCGAACAAGUACCGUGAGGGAAAGAUGAAAAGAACUUUGGAAAGAGAGUUAAACAGUACGUGAAAUUGCUGAAAGGGAAACGCUUGAAGUCAGUCACGUCGACUGGAAAUCAGCCUUUGCUUUUGCUUGGUGUACUUUCUGGUUGAUGGGUCAGCAUCAAUUUUGACCACUGGAUAAAGUCUUUGGGAAUGUGGCAUCUUAGGAUGUGUUAUAGCCCAUUUUCGCAUACGGUGGUUGGGAUUGAGGAACUCAGCACGCCGCAAGGCCAGGUCUUCUAUGAUCAUGUUUCGUGCUUAGGAUGCUGGCAUAAUGGCUUUAAUCGACCCGUCUUGAAACACGGACCAAGGAGUCUAACAUGCCUGCGAGUGUUUGGGUGGAAAACCCAUGCGCGCAAUGAAAGUGAAAGUUGAGAUCCCUUCUCAAAGAGGGGAGCAUUGACGCCCGGACCAGACCUUUUGUGACGGAUCCGCGGUAGAGCAUGUAUGUUGGGACCCGAAAGAUGGUGAACUAUGCCUGAAUAGGGUGAAGCCAGAGGAAACUCUGGUGGAGGCUCGUAGCGAUUCUGACGUGCAAAUCGAUCGUCAAAUUUGGGUAUAGGGGCGAAAGACUAAUCGAACCAUCUAGUAGCUGGUUCC